This 253-nucleotide ribosomal RNA is filed under the name uncultured bacterium. RNAcentral describes it as "partial 16S ribosomal RNA". It matches the Rfam family "Bacterial small subunit ribosomal RNA", at positions 524 to 776 of the family's 1533-position model. The record is from RNAcentral.
UACGAGGGGGGCAAGCGUUGUUCGGAAUUAUUGGGCGUAAAGGGCGCGUAGGCGGUGCGGUAAGUCACCUGUGAAAACUCUGGGCUCAACUCAGAGCCUGCAGGCGAAACUGCCGUGCUUGAGUGUGGGAGAGGUGCGUGGAAUUCCCGGUGUAGCGGUGAAAUUCGUAGAUAUUAGGAAGAACACCAGUGGCGAAGGCGGCUCACUGGUCCGGUACUGACGCUGAGGUGCGAAAGCGUGGGGAGCAAACAGG